ACUGAUCCACGGAAACGCAGCUCACUGAUCCUUGUCUAAGGGGAGACCUUCUGGGAGAAGGAACCUUAACCCCGAAAUGGAUCAGUGAAAAAGGUGUUCCGUUUUGCUUUUCAACUGGGCCGUCAUUAAGUGAGAAGAGGCUCGGAUCCUCUUCUGUGGCCAUCGACUCACCAGCCUCCCCAGAUCUACCCGUCUGUCGAGGUGACCGAGUCUCAGCAGAACAGCAGAACCAGAAGAGGCGGUCCAGAAUGCUAUAUGAAGAUAUAUUUCAGGAACAUAUGGACACGUCAGAUGUCACAGUGGGACUGUGAUAUUCCUGCAAUAUUAUGCUGGAGCCCUCAAAGAGGACAUGUGCCUGUGUGUGUCCCCCCAGACAAGCCCCCCCAGAUUUCUUUUUUAUGGGGACGAUCUAGUCAGAUACUGAAGAACUCAGUACUCAUUCUCUG
Bos taurus (domestic cattle) is the source of this 446-nucleotide long non-coding RNA. The record is from Ensembl. NCBI's taxonomy places the organism in Eukaryota, Metazoa, Chordata, Mammalia, Artiodactyla, Bovidae.